RNAcentral lists this ribosomal RNA (497 nucleotides) under uncultured bacterium. Its description in RNAcentral is "partial 16S ribosomal RNA". It matches the Rfam family "Bacterial small subunit ribosomal RNA", at positions 28 to 507 of the family's 1533-position model. The record is from RNAcentral.
GAUGAACGCUGGCGGCGUGCCUAAUACAUGCAAGUCGAGCGAACAUACGAGGAGCUUGCUCCUCUGACGUUAGCGGCGGACGGUUGAGUAACACGUGGAUAACCUACCUAUAAGACUGGGAUAACUUCGGGAAACCGGAGCUAAUACCGGAUAAUAUAUUGAACCGCAUGGUUCAAUAGUGAAAGACGGUUUUGCUGUCACUUAUAGAUGGAUCCGCGCCGCAUUAGCUAGUUGGUAAGGUAACGGCUUACCAAGGCGACGAUGCGUAGCCGACCUGAGAGGGUGAUCGGCCACACUGGAACUGAGACACGGUCCAGACUCCGACGGGAGGCAGCAGUAGGGAAUCUUCCGAAAUGGGCGAAAGCCUGACGGAGCAACGCAGCGUGAGUGAUGAAGGUCUUCGGAUCGUAAAACUCUGUUAUUAGGGAAGAACAAAGGUGUAAGUAACUAUGCACGUCUUGACGGUACCUAAUCAGAAAGCCACGGCUAACUACGUG